This 253-nucleotide ribosomal RNA is filed under the name uncultured bacterium. RNAcentral describes it as "partial 16S ribosomal RNA". It matches the Rfam family "Bacterial small subunit ribosomal RNA", at positions 524 to 776 of the family's 1533-position model. The record is from RNAcentral.
UACGUAGGGGGCGAGCGUUGUCCGGAGUUACUGGGCGUAAAGGGCAUGCAGGCGGUCGGACGCGUUUCGGGUGACAGCGGGUGGCUUAACUACCCGAGUGGUCGAAAGACGGUUUGACUUGAGGACGCGAGAGGGACACGGAAUUCCGGGUGGAGUGGUGAAAUGCGUAGAGAUCCGGAGGAACACCGAAGGCGAAGGCAGUGUCCUGGCGCGUAACUGACGCUGAGGUGCGAAAGCCAGAGGAGCGAACGGG